CAUAUCAUGUCAUAACACCGGUUCCUGUAUGGUCACCGAAGUUAAGCAACAUCGAAUCUGGUCAGUACCUAGAUGGGUGACUGCUAGGAAAUUCCAAGUGCUGUAAG
Molecule: non-coding RNA, 107 nt
Organism: Acanthosepion pharaonis
Lineage: Eukaryota; Metazoa; Mollusca; Cephalopoda; Sepiida; Sepiidae
Source: the annotation of a GenBank genome assembly